This 407-nucleotide ribosomal RNA is filed under the name uncultured bacterium. RNAcentral's name for it is "partial 16S ribosomal RNA". It matches the Rfam family "Bacterial small subunit ribosomal RNA", at positions 30 to 526 of the family's 1533-position model. The record is from RNAcentral.
AUUGAACGCUGGCGGCAGGCCUAAUACAUGCAAGUCGAGCGGAGCGGCGGACGGGUGGGUAAUGCCUAGGAAUCUGCCUGGUCGUGGGGGAUAACGUCCGGAAACGGGCGCUAAUCCCGCAUACUAUCAGAUGAGCCUAGGUCGGAGUAGCUAGUUGGUGGGGUAAAGGCCUACCAGGGCGACGAUCCGUAACUGGUCUGAGAGGAUUAACAGUCACAUUGGAACUGAGCCACGGUCCAGACGCCUACGGGAGGCAGCAGUGGGGAAUAUUGGACAAUGGGCGAAAGCCUGAUCCAGCCAUGCCGCGUGUGUGAAGAAGGUAUUCGGAUUGUAAAGCACUUUAAGUUGGGAGGCGUUACCAACAGAGGAAGCACCGGCUAACUACGUGCCAGCAGCCGCGGUAAUUC